GACGAACGCUGGCGGCGUGCUUAACACAUGCAAGUCGAACGGAAAGGCCCUGCUUUUGUGGGGUGCUCGAGUGGCGAACGGGUGAGUAACACGUGAGUAACCUGCCCUUGACUUUGGGAUAACUUCAGGAAACUGGGGCUAAUACCGGAUAGGAGCUCCUGCUGCAUGGUGGGGGUUGGAAAGUUUUGGCGGUUGGGGAUGGACUCGCGGCUUAUCAGCUUGUUGGUGGGGUAGUGGCUUACCAAGGCUUUGACGGGUAGCCGGCCUGAGAGGGUGACCGGCCACAUUGGGACUGCGAUACGGCCCAGACUCCUACGGGAGGCAGCAGUGGGGAAUAUAGCACAAUGGGCGGAAGCCUGAUGCAGCAACGCCGCGUGCGGGAUGACGGCCUUCGGGUUGUAAACCGCUUUCGCCUGUGACGAAGCGUGAGUGACGGUAAUGGGUAAAGAAGCACCGGCUAACUACGUG
Molecule: ribosomal RNA, 468 nt
Filed under: uncultured bacterium
Lineage: Bacteria
Description: partial 16S ribosomal RNA
Rfam family: Bacterial small subunit ribosomal RNA
Source: RNAcentral